UACGGAGGGGGCUAGCGUUGUUCGGAAUUACUGGGCGUAAAGCGCACGUAGGCGGCUUUGUAAGUUAGAGGUGAAAGCCCAGGGCUUAACCCUGGAAUUGCCUUUAAGACUGCAUCGCUAGAAUCGUGGAGAGGUGAGUGGAAUUCCGAGUGUAGAGGUGAAAUUCGUAGAUAUUCGGAAGAACACCAGUGGCGAAGGCGACUCACUGGACACGUAUCGACGCUGAGGUGCGAAAGCGUGGGGAGCAAACAGG
This 253-nucleotide ribosomal RNA is filed under the name uncultured bacterium. RNAcentral's name for it is "partial 16S ribosomal RNA". It matches the Rfam family "Bacterial small subunit ribosomal RNA", at positions 524 to 776 of the family's 1533-position model. The record is from RNAcentral.